Molecule: ribosomal RNA, 207 nt
Filed under: uncultured bacterium
Lineage: Bacteria
Description: partial 16S ribosomal RNA
Rfam family: Bacterial small subunit ribosomal RNA
Source: RNAcentral
CACGUAGGCGGCUUUGUAAGUUAGAGGCGAAAGCCCGGGGCUCAACUCCGGAACUGCCUUUAAGACUGCAUCGCUAGAACGUCGGAGAGGUAAGUGGAAUUCCGAGUGUAGAGGUGAAAUUCGUAGAUAUUCGGAAGAACACCAGUGGCGAAGGCGACUUACUGGACGACUGUUGACGCUGAGGUGCGAAAGCGUGGGGAGCAAACA